This 440-nucleotide ribosomal RNA is filed under the name uncultured bacterium. Its description in RNAcentral is "partial 16S ribosomal RNA". It matches the Rfam family "Bacterial small subunit ribosomal RNA", at positions 338 to 795 of the family's 1533-position model. The record is from RNAcentral.
CCUACGGGAGGCAGCAGUGGGGGAUAUUGCACAAUGGGGGGAACCCUGAUGCAGCGAAGCCGCGUGGGUGAAGAAGCGCCUCGGCGCGUAAAGCCCUGUCAGCAGGGAAGAAAAUGACGGUACCUGAAGAAGAAGCCCCGGCUAACUACGUGCCAGCAGCCGCGGUAAUACGUAGGGGGCAAGCGUGAUCCGGAUUUACUGGGUGGAAAGGGGGCGCAGACGGCGAUGCAAGCCAGGUGUGAAAGCCCGGGGCCCAACCCCGGGACUGCUCUUGGAACUGCGUGGCUGGAGUGCAGGAGGGGCAGGCGGAAUUCCUGGUGUAGCGGUGAAAUGCGUAGAUAUCAGGAGGAACACCGGUUGCGAAGGCGGCCUGCUGGACUGCAACUGACGUUGAGGCCCGAAAGCGUGGGGAGCAAACAGGAUUAGAUACCCGAGUAGUC